CAGUCGCCGCGGGAAUACGUAGGUCCCGAGCGUUGUCCGGAUUUAUUGGGCGUAAAGCGAGCGCAGGCGGUUAGAUAAGUCUGAAGUUAAAGGCUGUGGCUUAACCAUAGUACGCUUUGGAAACUGUUUAACUUGAGUGCAAGAGGGGAGAGUGGAAUUCCAUGUGUAGCGGUGAAAUGCGUAGAUAUAUGGAGGAACACCGGUGGCGAAAGCGGCUCUCUGGCUUGCAACUGACGCUGAGGCUCGAAAGCGUGGGGAGCAAACAGGAUUAGAUACCCCCGUAGUCCCUGUCUCUUAUACA
This 301-nucleotide ribosomal RNA is filed under the name uncultured bacterium. RNAcentral's name for it is "partial 16S ribosomal RNA". It matches the Rfam family "Bacterial small subunit ribosomal RNA", at positions 509 to 808 of the family's 1533-position model. The record is from RNAcentral.